AGCAGCCGCGGUAAUUCCAGCUCCAAUAGCGUAUAUUAAAGUUGUUGCAGUUAAAAAGCUCGUAGUUGAAUUUCGGGGCCAGUAGGUUGGUCGUGCCACUGGUAUGCACUGGCCUCACUGGUCCCUCCUUCUUGUAGAACCGUGAUGGCAUUAAUUUGUUGUUGCGGGGAAACAGGACUGUUACUUUGAAAAAAUUAGAGUGUUUAAAGCAGGCUAACGCUUGAAUACAUUAGCAUGGAAUAAUGAAAUAGGACGAUCGAUCCUAUUUUGUUGGUUUCUAGGAUUGACGUAAUGAUUAAUAGGGAUAGUUGGGGGCAUUAGUAUUCAAUUGUCAGAGGUGAAAUUCUUGGAUUUAUUGAAGACUAACUACUGCGAAAGCAUUUGCCAAGGAUGUUUUCAUUAAUCAAGAACGAAAGUUAGGGGAUCGAAGACGAUCAGAUACCGUCGUAG
RNAcentral lists this ribosomal RNA (450 nucleotides) under uncultured Glomeromycotina. RNAcentral describes it as "SSU rRNA". It matches the Rfam family "Eukaryotic small subunit ribosomal RNA", at positions 569 to 1023 of the family's 1831-position model. The record is from RNAcentral. Lineage: Eukaryota; Fungi; Glomeromycota.